CAGUCGUACCUGCGGGUAAUCAGCCUUUUGGGCAUGAUUCUGUGGAGCGUGAGGAGCUAAUCGCCUUCAUGCCUAUAUAUUCGUGUACUUGGGGUGUACUUAUUCGUGAGGUAAGUUAACAUCAAUUUUGGUCGUCAUAAAAUGACUGGAGGAAUGGUAGCUUUGAUCUCGUAUUGAAGUGUUAUAG
Molecule: ribosomal RNA, 187 nt
Filed under: Glomus sp. (unid)
Lineage: Eukaryota; Fungi; Glomeromycota; Glomeromycetes; Glomerales; Glomeraceae
Source: RNAcentral